Molecule: long non-coding RNA, 575 nt
Filed under: Olea europaea (common olive)
Lineage: Eukaryota; Viridiplantae; Streptophyta; Magnoliopsida; Lamiales; Oleaceae
Description: long non-coding RNA (OEUR_LNC014663)
Source: RNAcentral
GACCGGUUAAUAACAAGUGUAAUUAGGAUUGUGUAACAAAAUGCACCCAGAUACGUAAACAACCAAAAAUGAAAAAUAAACGUUGCUUUUUCUUGCCCACUCUGCCUUGAGACAUUAAGCCCAAGCUGCCACUGUCUAGACUAAUUGCACCAUUUUCUAUAACACUCGGACAUUUUUUCGAGCUAUUUGAAGAAUGGAAAAAAUGCAUCUCUGUGUUGGUGUUGCAUUUCUUGCUGCUGAAUCAUGGAUAAAACCUUCCCAAUUGAGGGUAAAGGAUCAAGGAGCAUAACCUGGUCUCAUGAAUUCGUGCAUGAAUCAUUUAAACCCAUCAAGAACUGUAUCACACAAUCCCUUUGGUAUCUGUUAGUAAGUGUAGUUAACUUUCCACAGGUGCAGUCAGGCAAAGGGUCGAACACAUUGAGUUCAUCCCAAAUUGAUUUCAACUUCCCAUAAUAAACACUUAUCGAAUCUUGCCCCUGUUGCAAGCUUGCUAGAGCUUUCUUGAGUUGGAAGAUCUGCGGACCAUUUUGCUGAGUAAACCGCUCCUUCAGUUCAUCCCAGAGCUCAGCAGCAUC